Molecule: transfer RNA, 67 nt
Filed under: Apicotermitinae gen. A sp. TB-2017
Lineage: Eukaryota; Metazoa; Arthropoda; Insecta; Blattodea; Termitidae
Description: tRNA-Pro
Source: RNAcentral
CAGGGGGUAUUUUAUAUAAAAUAUUAGUUUUGGGGACUAGUGAAAUGGAUUUAAACCUUUCCUCUGA